GUCGAGGCCGUGGAGGACGGGAGGACAUCCAGAGCUCAGCCCGGUAACAUGUCAUUGCCGGGGCCGCCCAGGGUUCGAGUCAGUCUAGAACAGGGCCUUUUACACAGUCUUUGGGCCAUUUGGCGGUUUUAAGAGGCGAGCGUCACAAGCAGCCCAGGGACAUUGGAGACCAGAUGCCACAAACUGAAAACCUUCGGGCCGGGCAGGUGACUGGCAGGUCCCUCUGGCCCUCCUCUGGACGGUCAGCUCAGCGCUGCAGGCUCCUGUGAGCACCGAGUGCCAGGCGCGGAGCAGUGCCUCACACGUGCUGACUCUCGGCCCAUCUACUGUCCACCCCUCUGGACAGUCCGCCCUGUGUGUGCAGUCUCAGGACUUCAGGUAUUUACCUUGGAUUCAUCCUCAUGAACCAGGCAUCCCCUCCUUACGCUAAGCCUCAGCCCUGCGACUACAGAUGGCCUGCAGCUUCUUUUCAUCAGGGAUGUACAUGAAAGGUUUCAUUUCUUAGAAGCUUCUCUGCUACGACUCCAGAGAAAGCGAUCAUGCCAAGACAUCAGAACUCCCUAGUCAUCACGUGGACUUGAGCAAGACAAGCUCUCAGAUCUUCAUGGGGCAGUCAUAACUAGCCUCCUGUAGGCUGCUCGUGGAGCUGAGGUAGGUGUUUACAGUUACUCCAGCAUGAAAAGGUUGGUGCCUUAGGAACAGAAAAGCAGAUCGUUGAAAAAGAUGAAUCAAUAUAGAAGAUCGUGCCACUUGGAGACAUCUUGGAGGCGGGGUUAUUUUCUUAAGACCCCAUCCUCUGAUUUGACCCAAACCCAGAGGUACUCUCUUCCCAUGGCCCCCAGAGGAACAUACAAACCAGUCUUUCCUUGGUAAUACAUCUGAUGUCACAGCUGUCGUUUUAUAAGCAGCCUUAAGAGUGAUCUUUUGAUUCUCCAUAUAAGUGAAAUAUUGUAUUCAUCUUUCACCAUCUGACUUAUUUCACUCAGCACAAUACCCUCUAGGUGCCCAGUGGGUACUUGAAAUAUUGGGGUGAUCAGUUUGUAAUGUAUAUGAUUGUCUACCACUAUGCUGUACACCUGAAGCUAAUACAAAAUAAUACUGAAUGUAAAGUGCAGUUGAAAAACAAACAUUUCUACCAUGCAAAUGGCAUUUACAUUUGUUUACUAUUAGAAAAAAAAAAAAAGCCACUUUCUUCUGUCCGUGGUGCUGAUCCACCAGCCAUUUGGCCGGCAACCAGAAGAGCUCCAACUUGCUUUGGCCAAUGGGAUUGAAUGUAGGGUUACCUUAAAAGUGAACAUUAAAUAUACAUCACACUUUUUCAGGACGUGUGGUUUGUGCCUAUGCUAAGUUGAAAAAAGUGCAAGCUGGAGAAUUUCCUAGUAAUGCCAGUUACCUCUUAUUUCUUUUAUAUCCUGCAAAUCCAACCCAUAUUUUUUAAAAAUUGAAAAUUGGAAGUGAAAAGGUUGGGUAUGUGUGUAUUGGUGUGCAUAUUUUGGACAUAGCAUAAACAUUUUCAAAUGUGAUAUCUUAAACAAGGUAUAACUAAUUGAAAUAAAUUUCCAUUUCACAAAUUAAAAA
Molecule: non-coding RNA, 1578 nt
Organism: Miniopterus natalensis
Lineage: Eukaryota; Metazoa; Chordata; Mammalia; Chiroptera; Miniopteridae
Source: RefSeq, a predicted model, not a curated record